This 446-nucleotide ribosomal RNA is filed under the name uncultured bacterium. RNAcentral's name for it is "bacterial SSU rRNA". It matches the Rfam family "Bacterial small subunit ribosomal RNA", at positions 329 to 792 of the family's 1533-position model. The record is from RNAcentral.
CGCCAGACUCCUACGGGAGGCAGCAGUGGGGAAUAUUGCACAAUGGGGGAAACCCUGAUGCAGCGACGCCGCGUGAGCGAUGAAGUAUUUCGGUAUGUAAAGCUCUAUCAGCAGGGAAGAAAAUGACGGUACCUGACUAAGAAGCCCCGGCUAACUACGUGCCAGCAGCCGCGGUAAUACGUAGGGGGCAAGCGUUAUCCGGAUUUACUGGGUGUAAAGGGAGCGUAGACGGCUGUGCAAGCCAGAUGUGAAAGCCCGGGGCUCAACCCCGGGACUGCAUUUGGAACUGUGUGGCUGGAGUGUCGGAGAGGCAGGCGGAAUUCCUAGUGUAGUGGUGAAAUGCGUAGAUAUUAGGAGGAACACCAGUGGCGAAGGCGGCCUGCUGGACGAUGACUGACGUUGAGGCUCGAAAGCGUGGGAAGCAAACAGGAUUAGAUACCCUAGUA